RNAcentral lists this ribosomal RNA (524 nucleotides) under uncultured bacterium. RNAcentral describes it as "partial 16S ribosomal RNA". It matches the Rfam family "Bacterial small subunit ribosomal RNA", at positions 28 to 523 of the family's 1533-position model. The record is from RNAcentral.
GACGAACGCUGGCGGCGUGCUUAACACAUGCAAGUCGAACGGACAGACAGAGAGCUUGCUCUCUUGAAGUUAGUGGCGAACGGGUGAGUAACGCGUAAUCAACCUGCCCUUCAGAGGGGGAUAACAACGGGAAACCGUUGCUAAUACCGCGUACGAUUCAUGAACGGCAUCGUUUAUGAAUGAAAGGUGGCCUCUAUGUAUAAGCUAUCGCUGAAGGAGGGGAUUGCGUCUGAUUAGCUAGUUGGGGGGGUAACGGCCCACCAAGGCAAUGAUAAGUAGCCGGUCUGAGAGGAUGAACGGCCACAUUGGGACUGAGACACGGCCCAAACUCCUACGGGAGGCAGCAGUGGGGAAUCGUCCGCAAUGGACGAAAGUCUGACGGAGCAACGCCGCGUGAGUGAUGAAGGUCUUCGGAUUGUAAAGCUCUGUUAAUCGGGACGAAAGAGUUCUGCGUGAAUAAUGCAGAAAAGUGACGGUACCGGAAUAGAAAGCCACGGCUAACUACGUGCCAGCCGCCGCGGUAA